This is a long non-coding RNA of Vespula vulgaris, 8748 nucleotides long. RefSeq lists it as uncharacterized. NCBI's taxonomy places the organism in Eukaryota, Metazoa, Arthropoda, Insecta, Hymenoptera, Vespidae. The record is from RefSeq and is a predicted model, not a curated record. The transcript has 3 exons.
CGACACGGCGGCUUCUGGCAAGAAUAGCGAUUAAUUCAACGGUAUAAACAGGAACGUACGUACGACGUGUGUAAGAAGAAAUCAACCGACAUUCGAUUUAACGUAAACUCGUUAUAAGUACGCGAGCGAUUGCGCAAUCGUAAAGGAAUAAAAUCGAUAUUUCGCAUCUAUCGAUUAGAUUUAAUAUCGUUAAAGAAACAGUCCACCGGGAUGUAGAUCCUUUCUAGAAUUAAUUUGCAAUUAUUUUCGUAUUAUUUUAAUAAGAUAUUUAUUUUAUUCAUUGCAUGGUAAAAGAAGAGGAAGAAAUAUUCUUAAUUAUAAAUAUUCUUACAAUUUUCAUUUUCCUUUACGUAAGAUUGAUGCAUACUUAACCUUAAUACGUGGAAAAAUAUCAAAGUAUAUAAUUAUAGGGAUUAAAUUUCUUUCGUUUUUAUCAAUUAUCAAUUCAUUACCAUAAACUGCUCAGCAUAUUCCAUGGGAUACACAAACAUGUUGAAGUCGUCUUAAACAAAGAAGAAUCGAGCACAUAAAGGAAAUUAAGAAAUUGAGAAGAUUGACGAUCACAAAGAAGAAAUUACAACAACUAUAAUUCAGGAAUUAAAUUUAUAUAUAAAGAAAUGAAGUAUCGUAUCGUGAGUGAUGAAUAAUUGUGAAUGUGAAUUGUGAUUGUGAAAAGGAAUGAUUUCUUUCAUUGAUACAGAAAUUAAAGAAAUAGAUAAGCAAUUUACUACGAUGACAAAAUUUAAGAAGAAAAUUUAAACGAGAAUUAUAAUGCUUUUGAUAUUAGCAGAUUGAAAAGGGAAAAUGUAAGAAAUAAUUAAAACAAAAGGCAGAAGCUUUACGUCAAUGUAAGAAAAAGCUGAAAGUGACAAAGUAUUGUUGAUUAAACUCGACCCAGUAAUACUACAUAAUGUAUGGACAGCCAAAAACUAGUAAGAUGCUAUCUUUAAAUCAGAUAAGACAGUGAUGAUUAUAUAGAACCAGAAAUGAAGUAUUGUAAUUACGAAUGUGAAGUACGACUGUGAAAGGGAGUGAUUUGUUCUAUUGAUAUAGAUAUCAAAGAAAUAGAUAAGCAAUUUACUUCAAUAACAGAAUAUGAAGGAGUAAACUUAAAUUAAAAUCAAAAUGCUUUCGAUACUAGCAGAUUGAAAACAGAUAACGCAAGAAAUGAAACAGAAGACAGAAGGUUUACGUCAUGCAAGAAGGAGCUGUAGGUGACAAAGCCUUGUUGAUUGAAACCGGCCAAAUAAUAUCACGUAAACUAUAGACAAUCCAGUUAUACGAAAACAAUUAAGAUGCUAUCUUUGAUUAUAUAAAAAAGCUGUUAUGACGCAGAUACAGAAAUAAAGGAUUGCAAUAGUGAAUGUGAAGUGAGACUGUGAAUGGUAGCUAUUUUCUAUUAACGGAGAUACUGAAGAAAGAUAAGCAACUUACUUCGAUGAUAUAAUUUGAAACGGGAAAAUAUAAAGGAGGUUGGGAAUGCUAUUGAUACUAGCAGAUUGAAAACAGAAGAUGCAAGUACCAAAACAAAAGACGAAAGCUUUACGUCAAUGCAAGAAAGGGCUGAAGGUGACAAAGCCUUGUUGAUUAAAACCGACCAAGUAAUGUGACGUAAACUAUGGACAUUGCAGAUAUGCGAAAACUAGUAAGAUGCUGUUUUUGAAUUAUAUAAAAAAGUGGUAAUUACGUUGAAACAGAAAAAAAGUAUUAUGAUACUGAAUAAGAAGUAUGACUGUGAAAGGGAGUGAUUUGUUCUUUUAACAUAGACAUUGAAGAAACAGAUACGAAAUGUACCUCAAUGACAGAAUUUGAAAGGGAAAAUUUAGACGAGAACGGGAAUGCUUUUGAUACUAGCAGAUUGGAAACAAAAAAUGCAAGAACCAAAACAAAAGACAGAAGGUUUACGUCAAUGCAAGAAGGAACUGUAGGUGACAAAGCCUUGUUGAUUAAAACCGACCAAAUAAUAUUACGUAAACUAUGGACAGCCUAGUUAUGCGAAAACGAGCAAGAUACUGUUUCUGAAUUAGGUAAGAAAGUGGUGAUUACGUGGAAACAGAAACAACAUACUACAGAAAUGAUUACAUAAUACGUAGGAAUUAAAUUUAUGUAUAAAGACAUGAAAUAUUGUAAUUAUGAAUGUGAAGUGUGACUGUGAAAGGGCGUGAUUUGUUCUAUUAACAUAGAUAUGGAAGAAAUAGAUAAGCAAUUUACUUCAAUGCCAGAUGUUGAAGGAGAAGAACUAAACAAGAUUCAUAAUACUUUUGAUACUGGCAGAUGGAAAACGGAACGCAACAACCAAAACAAAAGAUAGAAGCCUUACGUCAAUGUAAGAAACAGCUGAAGGUGACAAAGCCAAGUUGAUUAAACUCGACCAAGUAAUAUUACGUAAACUAUGGACACCCCAGUUAUACGAAAGCUGGUAACAUGGUAGCUUUGAAUUAAGUAGGAAGGUGGUGAUUACGUAGAAACAGAAAUGACGUAUUACAGAGUUGAUUGCGUAAUAUUCAGGAAUUCAAUUUAUAUAUAAAGAAAUGAAAUAUUGUAAUUGCGAGAGUGAAGUGUGACUGUGAGAGGGAAUGAUUUGUUCUAUUAACGUGGAUAUUGAAGAAAUAGAUAAGCAAUUUACUUCAAUAACAGAAUUUGAAGGAGCAGAUUUAAACGAGAAUGGGUAUGCUUUUGAUAUUUGCAGGUUGCAAACAGAUACCGCAAGAACCAAAACAAAAGACAGAAGCUUACGUCAGUGCAAGAAAGCACUGGAGGUGACAAAGCCUUGUUGAUUAAACUCAACCAAGUAAUGUUACGUAAACUAUGGACAUUGCAGAUAUGCGAAAACUAGUAAGAUACUAUCUUUGAAUUAGAUAAAAAAAUGGUAAUUACAUAAAAACAGAAUUGAAGUAUUGUAAUUAUGAAUGUGAAGUGUAACUGUAAAAGGGAGUGAUUUGUUCUAUUCACAUAGAAAUCGAAGAAAGAGAUAAGCAAUUUAAAUCAAUGACAGAAUUUGAAGAGGAGAAUUUAAACGAGAAUGGGUAUGCUUUCGAUACUAGCAGAUUGAAAACAGAUAACGCAAGGACCAGAACAAAUGAUAGAAGCCUUAUACACUGUAAGAAAGAAUUGAAGGUGGCAAACCCUUGUUGAUUAAACCCGACCAAGUAAUAUUACGUAAACUAUGGAUACCCUUCGUAUUACGAAAACAAGUAUGAGGCUGUCUUCGAAUUAGAUAAGAAGGUGGUGAUUACGUAGAACCAGAAAUGACGUACUACAGAAGGGAUUACGUAACAUCCAGAUAUUGAAGAAAUAGAUAAGCAAUUUACCUCAAUGAUAGAAUUUGAAGGGAAGAAUUUAAACGAGAAUGGGAAUACUUUUCAUACUAGCAGAUUAAGAACAAGUAAUGCAAAAACCAAAACAAAAGACAGAAGCUUUACGUCAAUAUAAGAAAGAGCUGAAGAUGACAAAGCCUUGUUAAUCAAACUCAAGUAAGUAAUAUUACGUGAAUUAUGGAUAGCCAAGUUAUGCGUAAAUGCGUAAGAUGCUGUCUUAAUUGGAUAAGAAAGUAUUGAUUACGUAGAAACAGAACUGAAGUAUUGUAAUUGUGAAUGUGAAGUGUGACUGUGGAACGGAGAGUGACUUGUUCUAUUAACAUAGAUAUUGAAGAGACAGAUAACCAAUUUACUGCAAUGACAUAAUUUGAAAGAGAAAACUUUAACGAGAAUCAUAAUGCUUUUGAUACUGGCAGAUUGAAAACAGAUAACGCAAGAACCAAAACAAAAGACAGAGCUUUAGGUCAAUGUAAGAAAGAGCUGAAGAUGACAAAGCCUUGUUAAUCAAACUCAAGUAAGUAAUAUUACGUGAAUUAUGGACAGCCAAGUUAUGCGUAAAUGUGUAAGAUGCUGUCUUAAUUGGAUAAGAAAGUAUUGAUUACGUAGAAACAGAACUGAAGUAUUGUAAUUGUGAAUUUGAAGUGUGACUAUGAAACGGAUAGUGAUUUGUUCUAUUAACAUAGAUAUUGAAGAGACAGAUAACCAAUUUACUGCAAUGACAUAAUUUGAAAGAGAAAACAAACAAGAAUCAUAAUGCUUUUGAUACUGGCAGAUUGAAAACAGAUAAUACAAGAACCAAAACAAAAGACAGAGCUUUAGGUCAAUGUAAGAAAGAGCUGAAGAUGUCAAAGCCUUGUUAAUCAAACUCAAGUAAGUAAUAUUACAUGAAUUAUGGACAGCCAAGUUAUGCGUAAAUGCGUAAGAUGCUGUCUUAAUUGGAUAAGAAAGUAUUGAUUACGUAGAAACAGAACUGAAGUAUUGUAAUUGUGAAUUUGAAGUGUGACUAUGAAACGAAUAGUGAUUUGUUCUAUUAACAUAGAUAUUGAAGAGACAGAUAACCAAUUUACUGCAAUGACAUAAUUUGAAAGAGAAAACUUUAACGAGAAUCAUAAUGCUUUUGAUACUGGCAGAUUGAAAACAGAUAACGCAAGAACCAAAACAAAAGACAGAGCUUUAGGUCAAUGUAAGAAAGAGCUGAAGAUGACAAAGCCUUGUUAAUCAAACUCAAGUAAGUAAUAUUACGUGAAUUAUGGACAGCCAAGUUAUGCGUAAAUGCGUAAGAUGCUGUCUUAAUUGGAUAAGAAAGUAUUGAUUACGUAGAAACAGAACUGAAGUAUUGUAAUUGUGAAUGUGAAGUGUGACUGUGAAACGGAAAGUGACUUGUUCUAUUAACAUAGAUAUUGAAGAGACAGAUAACCAAUUUACUGCAAUGACAUAAUUUGAAAGAGAAAACUUUAACGAGAAUCAUAAUGCUUUUGAUACUGGCAGAUUGAAAACAGAUAACGCAAGAACCAAAACAAAAGACAGAGCUUUAGGUCAAUGUAAGAAAGAGCUGAAGAUGUCAAAGCCUUGUUAAUCAAACUCAAGUAAGUAAUAUUACGUGAAUUAUGGACAGCCAAGUUAUGCGUAAAUGUGUAAGAUGCUGUCUUAAUUGUAUAAGAAAGUGGUGAUUACGUAGAAACAUAAAUGAAGUAUUGAAAUUGUGAAUGUGAAGUGUGACUAUGAAACGGAUAGUGAUUUGUUUUAUUAACAUAGAUAUUGAAGAGACAGAUAACGAAUUUACUACAAUGACAUAAUUUGAAAGAGAAAACUUAAACGAGAGUCAUAAUGCUUUUGAGACUGGCAGAUUGAAAACAGAUAAUGCAAGAACCAAAACAAAAGACAGAGCUUUAGGUCAAUGUAAGAAGGAACUGAAGAUGACAAAGCCUUCUUGAUUAAAUUCGACCAGGUAAUAUUACGUACAUUAUGGACAGUCAAGUUAUGCAAAAAUGCAUAAGAUGCUCUCUUAAUUGUAUAAGAAAGUGGUAAUUACGUAGAAACAGAAAUGAAGUAUUGUAAUUGUGAAGUGUGACUGUGAAACGGAGAGUGAUUUGUUCUAUUAACAUAGAUAUUAAAGAGACAGAUAACCAAUUUACUGCAAUGACAUAAUUUGAAAGAGAAAAUUUUAACGAGAAUCAUAAUGCUUUUGAUACUGGCAAAUUGAAAACAGAUAAUACAAGAACCAAAACAAAAGACAGAAGAUUUACAUCAAUGUGAGAAAGAGCUGAAGAUGAUAAAGUCUUAUUGAUUAAACUUGACCAAGUACUAUUACGUACAUUAUGGGACAGUCAAGUUAUGCGAAAAUGCAUAAGAUGCUGUCUUAAUUGUAUAAGAAAGUGGUGAUUACGUAGAAACAGAAAUGAAGUAUUGUAAUUGUGAAGUGUGACUGUUAAACGGAGAGUGAUUUGUUCUAUUAACAUAGAUAUUGAAGAGACAGAUAACCAAUUUACUGCAAUGACAUAAUUUGAAAGAGAAAAUUUUAACGAGAAUCAUAAUGCUUUUGAUACUGGCAAAUUGAAAACAGAUAAUACAAGAACCAAAACAAAAGACAGAAGAUUCACAUCAAUGUGAGAAAGAGCUGAAGAUGAUAAAGUCUUAUUGAUUAAACUUGACCAAGUACUAUUACGUACAUUAUGGACAGCCAAGUUAUGCGAAAAUGCGUAAGAUGCUGUCUUUUAAUUGGAUAAGAAAGUGGUGAUUAUAUAGAAACAGGAUUGAAGUAUUGUAAUUGUUAAUGUGAAGCGUGACUGUGAAAGGGAAUGAUUUGUUCUAUUAACAUAGGUAUUGAAGGAGAUAUAGAUAAGCAAUUUACUUCAAUGACAAGAUUUGAAGGAGAAAAUUAAACAACAAUCGGAGUGCUUUUGAAAUUAGCAGAUUGAAAACUGAAAACAUAAACAUUAAAACAAAAGAUAGAAGCAUUACGUUGAUGUAAGAAAGGUCUGGAAGAUGACAAAGCCUUAUUGAUUGAACUUAAACAAAUAAUACUGCAUAAACUAUAAAGAGCCAAGUUAUGCGAAAACAAACUGUCUUUGAAUUAGAUAAGAGAAUGGGGAUUACGUAGAAACAGAAUUGAAGUAUUGUAAUUGUGACUGCAAAAGGGAGUGAUUUAUUCUAUUAACAUAGGUAUUUGAAGGAGAAAUAGAUAAGCAAUUUACUUCAAUGACAAGAUUUGAGGGAGAAAAUUAAACGACAAUUGGAGUGCUUUUGAAAUUAGCAGAUUGAAAACUGGAAACGCAAACACCAAAACAAAAGAUAGAAGCAUUACGUCGAUGUAAGAAAGGUCUGGAAGAUGACAAAGCCUUAUUGAUUUUACUUAAACAAAUAAUACUACAUAAACUAUAAAGAGCCAAGUUAUGCGAAAAUACGCUGUCUUUAAAUUAGAUAAGAAAAUGGGGAUUACGUAGAAACAGGAUUGAAGUAUUGUAAUUGUGACUGUGAAAGGGAGUGAUUUAUUCUAUUAGGUAUUGAAGGAGAAACAGAUAAGCAAUUUACUUCAAUGACAAGAUUUGGGGGAGAAAAUUAAACGACAAUCGGAACGCUUAUGGAAUUAGCAGAUUGAAAACUGGAAACGCAAACAUCAAACCAAAAGACAGAGGCAUUACGUCGACGUAGGAAAGGGCUGGAAGAUGACAAAGCCCUGUUGAUUGAACUCAAACAAAUAAUACUAUAUAAACUAUAAACAGCCAACUUAUACGAAAACAAGAUGCUGUCUUUGAGUUAGAUAAGAAAGUGGGGAUUACGCUAGAACAGAAAGGACGUACUACAAAGGGAAGCGAGAAUGAAAAUCCUAUACAACAAGUAUUAAAGUAUUAAACGAGGGUUGCGAAGCCUUCGCGAAACACGAGAAAUGUUCGUAAAACGAUUAAGUACGUUAUGUUGCGAACAAACAUAAGACUUUGCAUUUUGAAUAAGGUAUUAUCAAAUAUAAACAGGUAUUUCACGAUAGUACUUUGGAACAACACGAAAUUUGGAAUAUGAGGAAUUAAUAACGGAAAAUACAUUAUUAAAUAGAUUUAACAAAGAAGAAAACAAUGAAGAUACGCUGUCUGAAUUUAUUAAAUAAUGAAAAUGCCUAAUACACAUUGAUAAUACAUAUAAUAUUAAAUAAUAAUACAAUUAUGAGAUUUAAAGACAAUUAGAACAUUGAUGAUUAAUAAUGAUUCGUUAAAGAAAGAAUUAGCCUACAAAGGAGACUUGGAAAAGAAAAGAAUAAAUUGUGCCAGUAACAAUAGAAAUAACAAGUGAAACUAAAUAAACAACAAUGGGAAAGAAUAAUGACAAAAACGUGUUCGAACGUGUGCGCACACGCUCGAUUGGCGCGAACAUCGCCAACAUAACCCCAAAAAUUAACAUGCUGUUUUCCUUACCAUUGUAGAAGUCAUAAAGGACCAAUCGGCCAAGAAAAAAUUGUCUUUCUGUACGUACAUUUUAAUAGUUUUCUAUCAAUAGAUUAUUAUUCAAGGUUCACAAUUUGCUGCUUUUAUCCCCGAAUUGAAAAUAUUUUACGUCAACGAAAUGUUAUAUUAAAUGACGAUUCGAAUGCUUUAAAAUCAAUGAGAUAUUUCUUAUCUGCAGCAAUAUUCGUUCGAUAUUUACUGCGCAAUUUCGGCACGAUUCAAAAAAGGUUAAAGUAGUUUAUAGUUAUAUCAAGUGACCAAUAAAAGGAGAAAGAAGAAUUAAAGUUUCUUCGACGACUCGUCUUCGUAAAACGAACUUCCUACAGUCAUCGAAAUGAGAUUUAACAGCUUUCCGUAAAGGAUAGGAGAAAAGAAUCGCGUAAAAAGUUCUUCUAAAGAACGACGUGUAAGUGAAAACUUUGGAAAUUUCCGAACUUCUUUUCGAACUUCUCUUUCCGGAACACUUCUUGUUGGAAUGUGCAAAUAUAUAUAUAUAUGUGCGAUAUUAGUAUAUAUGUACGUAUAUAUCUAGAUAUUUAUAUAUGUAUCGAUUAAUUAAUCUAGUGAAAUCUAAAACGAAUGAGAAUAUUAUAUGUUGAGAAGAGACAGCUAAGCGGAAUGUUGAGCACUGCGCGAGAGGAUACCGACAAGAUCGGAAGACGGCACGCAACUAACUGCCGCCGUAGAGCGUCGAACGUGGUUCGCUACUCAUUUAUUGGGCGCAAGAAAGUGGGGAGGAAGUAUUGACCAAUUGCGUUGCAAUAUUUCUACACGUGACAAAUGCAAAGAUAUGUUCAUUUUAAAACGCAAAGGCACCUUGCCGAAGAAUAAAGUUAGAAAUAGAUAAACAAAGAUUUUCUAUAUAUCUCAUAAAAAUCUUAUAUAUAUAAUAUAUAUAUAUAUGUAUACAUAUACAUAACCUAAACUAAAAAUAAGAAAAUAUAUAUAUAAUAUACAUUGUAACAAUAUAUAUAGUAAUAAAUCAAUUGAAAUCG